GAUGAAGAACGCAGCGAAAUGCGAUACGUAAUGUGAAUUGCAGAAUUCAGUGAAUCAUCGAAUCUUUGAACGCAUAUUGCGCUCUCUGGUAUUCCGGAGAGCAUGCUUGUUUGAGUAUCAGUAAACACCUCAACUCCCUUUUCUUUUUUGAAAUUGGAGCUGGACUUGAGUGAUCCCAACGCUUUCUUCCAAGAAAGUGGCGGGUUGCUUGAAAUGCAGGUGCAGCUGAACUUUUCUCUGAGCUAUAAGCAUAUCUAUUUAGUCUGCCUAAAAAACAGAUUAGUACCUUUGCUGCAGCUAACAUAAAGGAGACUAGUUCUUGUGCUGACUGAUGCAGGAUUCACAGAGACAGCUUCGGCUGACUUUGUAAACUCGAUCUCAAAUCAAGUAAGACUACCCGCUGAACUUAAGCAUAUCAAUAAGCGGAGGA
This 430-nucleotide unclassified non-coding RNA is filed under the name soil metagenome. RNAcentral's name for it is "partial contains 5.8S ribosomal RNA, internal transcribed spacer 2, and large subunit ribosomal RNA". The stretch from base 1 to 120 matches the Rfam family "5.8S ribosomal RNA", at positions 35 to 154 of the family's 154-position model. The record is from RNAcentral.